UAGAUGCAAGUGCGUCAUUUUAUAUAUUUUUCUAUCCACGAGCUCAUGUCAGCAUCCCUUAUAAUUCAAGUAACCACAAUUAAAAACCAGAAGCUAUAGUAAUGGAGAAAAAAAAAAAUCUGAGUCCAACGACUUGAAAAAGAGUACAUUUUUUCUGUUUUUACUAAAACAAAUAUUGAAAAGUGGAAGAGCAAUUAUUGAUAAUGUAAAUAAUACUACAACUCAACGGCAUUGAGGAAAAUGCAGGCAUGUCCAUUUGAUGUUUCCUCCGUAUCAGAAAUCAAUACCUUAAUUCUACAAAAGAAGAAGAAAAGCAUAAGCUAUUAACAAUCACAGAGAUUAUUAUCUGAGAUAAUUUUUUAAAAAAAAAGUUGUGAUGAAAAUAUUUUCCAAGUUUCUCUAGUAACUUCAUGUUAUUCGUCAAAAAGGUAGUACAAGAAUAAUAUAACUCAAUGACCAAAAAGGUAUUGCUGAAAACACAUGCAGGCAUGGUAAUCCAUUUGAUGUUUCCUCCAUAUCAGAACUCAAUAGACAAAAGAAAGAUAAACAGUUAACAAUUUUCUCAGACAAUUUAUAAAAGAAAAUUUUUAUGAUGCAAAUAUUACUUACAGAUAGCCUAGAUAAAAAGAAAAGAAAAGCAAAUUAAAAGAUUGGCUUAAUGAUACCAGUAAUAGUCAUUGCGUUUUGGUAGAAAGUAUCAGGAAGACAUAAUUAUCCUGCAUAAACUCUAUAUGCAUAACUUCUCUUGCGUUCCUGCAUUGCACAAUGCCAACACAAGAUCCUGCUCAGCUAUCCAUGUUUCCAAGACGGAUUAUAACUUUAUGAAGAUGACAUACAAUCUGAUCAAUCAAAUAAUGAAAUGAAUCUGAGAAAACACAAUAAUGUGUCAUAAAUUUAUACAUUAAGCAUUGGGGGUUAUGAAUAGGAAAGAUACAUGACAGUUAUUGUAAACAUAAAUGUUGAACAUGUAACGGUAUAUUAGUUUUAUGAAUAAACGGUGUGACUCUUCCUUACCCCACAAUUAUAACUCUUCAAUGUUGUCACAACUCUUCAAUACCUCCACAUAAAAAUAAUAGACAAACAAUUAAGGAAAGGGAAAAAGAAGCAAAGAAUGAGGAAAAAGGAAAAAAAAAAGAAAAAGAAAAAAGAUAAAUAG
This 1156-nucleotide long non-coding RNA is filed under the name Nicotiana tabacum (common tobacco). RNAcentral describes it as "long non-coding RNA (NTAB_LNC017733)". The record is from RNAcentral. Lineage: Eukaryota; Viridiplantae; Streptophyta; Magnoliopsida; Solanales; Solanaceae.